CAUUUUAUGGAUCCACUUGCUUGGAUCCAUAAAAUGGACUGAGGUCCACGUGGCAGGGGGGAGGUGGUGCUCACUCCUCACCCCUGCCACAUGGACCCAAGGGAUGAACCAUCAACGCUGCUCAAUGGUCAACUUUCCUCGCGGGGUCCUACCCAUUAGGACAGUGGGAGGGUCAACUCAAGGAGAAGUGGAAAAUGAACAUAUUUGCCCAAAUGGUGAUGUGUUACUUUAAAGUGCAUGUCAAGUGUGCCUCAGAGUCUUACCCCACCCACGUAUCAAUUUUAAAAACUGCAACAUUGGUAGGCGUUGCCUGGAGGACCGAGAGGGUGGAGCCGCGGCAGUGACAAAGACGGCGGCUAACUAGACGAUGCUAGCUCCCUUCACUCUGAGCAGUCAUUAGAAGUGGAGGACGUUUCUCCCCCUCCUUACCCAGACACUCGAGAAGAAAGGGACCAAGUCUAAUUGGAGGAGACAAGCGGACAUGAGCCUUAUUGUUUUGAGCGUGUGAGUUGCCUGAAAUUACCGGAACCGACCCAACAGAACCAUCUCUGAAUGUGGUCCUCUGGUGUCUGCAGCUGGUCUCUGGUGUCGUCAGGAUCAGGAGCUUCCAGAAGAAUGUGCCUUUCAAAGACUCUUUCCCCCUUAUUUGUUAUAUUAAUUAAAUAAAUCUCAAUUUAUACAUUUCCUGUUUUUGUUCAUGUCCAUAAAUACUUAAACAUGCUUGAAAUUAAAACGAGCUUUUAACAGUGAGGUGCUAGUUUAAUUCAUCACAAUAGAGCUAGUUAAACAUGCAAUGUGAUAAUUCAAUUAAUGUAAUUUAUAAAUAUCCAUUAAAAUAUCAAAACUGGAAUCAAAAUGAGAUAUUUGGCAGCACAAAAAACUUGUCAAACACAAUAUUUAUUAUAAUAAUUGUGGGCAGACAGGAGACAGAGCUGAUGGAGGUUCUCAGUCAUCGAAGGAUGGCUGAAGGCUUUCCAGGAACAGGAGAUGUGGUGUUGUCUCUUCUCUCUCUAUUCUGCCAGAUGAGCUGAUAGGUUACAGGUGUGUGAGGACAUCCUCAUGCUGUCAUAACCAGAUGACAGGAGUUAUCAGGUGAUCAGCCAGGCUAAUGAUGAGAUGCAGAAAGAAAACAAAUCAUGCAGAAAGAAAACAAAUCCAGGACAGUGUACAAUAAUAAAAAUAAUAUGUGGUGUUGCUCACCUUAUGUGCUCUUAUAGAGUUAUUAACGUGUGCCUGCCUCAUGGUGUAGAGUCCAUAUUUUGCUGAGUGUCCUGCAAUAAUGCAGGUUAUUAGUUAAUGUACU
Molecule: long non-coding RNA, 1303 nt
Organism: Nothobranchius furzeri (turquoise killifish)
Lineage: Eukaryota; Metazoa; Chordata; Actinopteri; Cyprinodontiformes; Nothobranchiidae
Source: RefSeq, a predicted model, not a curated record